RNAcentral lists this ribosomal RNA (396 nucleotides) under uncultured bacterium. RNAcentral's name for it is "partial 16S ribosomal RNA". It matches the Rfam family "Bacterial small subunit ribosomal RNA", at positions 523 to 918 of the family's 1533-position model. The record is from RNAcentral.
AUACGAAGGGUGCAAGCGUUAUUCGGAAUUACUGGGCGUAAAGCGCGCGUAGGUGGUUCGUUAAGUUGGAUGUGAAAGCCCCGGGCUCAACCUGGGAACUGCAUCCAAAACUGGCGAGCUAGAGUAUGGCAGAGGGGGGUGGAAUUUCCUGUGUAGCGGUGAAAUGCGUAGAAAUAGGAAGGAACACCAGUGGCGAAGGCGACCACCGGGGCUAAUAUGAGCACUGAGGUGCAAAGGGUGGGGGGUGAACAAGGGUUAGAGCCCUGGGUAUUCAACCCGGAAACCAAUGUCGCUAAGUCGUUGAGGUCCUUGAGCCCUUAGUGCCGCAGCUAACGCAUUAAGUCGUCCGCCUGGGGAGUACGGCCGCAAGGUUGAAACUCAAAUGAAUUGACGGGG